Molecule: unclassified non-coding RNA, 432 nt
Filed under: soil metagenome
Description: partial contains 5.8S ribosomal RNA, internal transcribed spacer 2, and large subunit ribosomal RNA
Rfam family: 5.8S ribosomal RNA (bases 1-120)
Source: RNAcentral
GAUGAAGAACGUAGCGAAAUGCGAUACGUAAUGUGAAUUGCAGAAUUCAGUGAAUCAUCGAAUCUUUGAACGCAUAUUGCGCUCUCUGGUAUUCCGGAGAGCAUGCUUGUUUGAGUAUCAGUAAACACCUCAACUUCCAUAUCUUUUUUGAAAUGGGAGUUGGACUUGAGUGAUCCCAACGCUUUUCCUCACCGAAAAGUGGCGGGUUACUUGAAAUGCAGGUGCAGCUGGACUGUUCUCUGAGCUAUAAGCAUAUCUAUUUAGUCUGCCUAAAAAACAGAUUAUUACCUUUGCUGCAGCUAACAUAAAGGAGAUUAGUUCUUGUGCUGACUGAUGCAGGAUUCACAAAGACGGCUUCGGCCGACUUUGUAAACUCGAUCUCAAAUCAAGUAAGACUACCCGCUGAACUUAAGCAUAUCAAUAAGCGGAGGA